This 277-nucleotide long non-coding RNA is filed under the name Pan troglodytes (chimpanzee). Its description in RNAcentral is "long non-coding RNA NONPTRT013151". The record is from RNAcentral. Lineage: Eukaryota; Metazoa; Chordata; Mammalia; Primates; Hominidae.
AUCCUCCUCAACCUCUCACUAUGUGGAUGCUAUAAAGUAACUUUAGUUCUUUGUUUUUCUCCAUAGUAAAAACAAAUUUGUCUCUAUCUUAGGUGAGUACAGAGCUAAGGAAAUAAUACCCAAAUGACAACAGUUUGGCCAAAUCUUCAGGUUCUAUUUCACAAAUGACUCCAUCUAGAAGGAUUUUAGUAUUUCCUCUGGUGCUUGUUACUUUUUUUCCCCCCAUAAAAUGUAUGACCCAAACUUAUUCCUUUUUAAAAGCUGAACUUAUAGCUUU